This 552-nucleotide ribosomal RNA is filed under the name uncultured bacterium. Its description in RNAcentral is "bacterial SSU rRNA". It matches the Rfam family "Bacterial small subunit ribosomal RNA", at positions 342 to 912 of the family's 1533-position model. The record is from RNAcentral.
CGGGAGGCAGCAGUGGGGAAUCUUAGACAAUGGGGGCAACCCUGAUCUAGCCAUGCCGCGUGAGUGAUGAAGGCCUUAGGGUCGUAAAGCUCUUUCGCCUGUGAUGAUAAUGACAGUAGCAGGUAAAGAAACCCCGGCUAACUCCGUGCCAGCAGCCGCGGUAAUACGGAGGGGGUUAGCGUUGUUCGGAAUUACUGGGCGUAAAGCGCGCGUAGGCGGAUUAGAAAGUUGGGGGUGAAAUCCCGAGGCUCAACCUCGGAACUGCCUCCAAAACUGCUAGUCUAGAGUUCGAGAGAGGUGAGUGGAAUUCCGAGUGUAGAGGUGAAAUUCGUAGAUAUUCGGAGGAACACCAGUGGCGAAGGCGGCUCACUGGCUCGAUACUGACGCUGAGGUGCGAAAGUGUGGGGAGCAAACAGGAUUAGAUACCCUGGUAGUCCACACCGUAAACGAUGAAUGCCAGUCGUCGGGUAGUAUACUAUUCGGUGACACACCUAACGGAUUAAGCAUUCCGCCUGGGGAGUACGGUCGCAAGAUUAAAACUCAAAGGAAUUG